Protopterus annectens (West African lungfish) is the source of this 109-nucleotide small nucleolar RNA. The record is from RefSeq and is a predicted model, not a curated record. Lineage: Eukaryota; Metazoa; Chordata; Ceratodontiformes; Protopteridae.
UGCCUAUGAUGAGUAGCCAUGCUAAUACCGAUUUUAUCAGGCUGGGUCACUGAUCUGGCUCUGGGUGAAGAUGAGUUAAACUGUCUUCUCAUGGUGAGACCUGAGGUAG